AGCAGUGUAGUGUAUAAAGCAUGUAGUAUUGCAAAUACUAAGGCGCAGCGUAAGUUCUGCCGGUGCUU
Molecule: transfer RNA, 68 nt
Filed under: Boulengerula boulengeri (Usambara bluish-gray caecilian)
Lineage: Eukaryota; Metazoa; Chordata; Amphibia; Gymnophiona; Herpelidae
Description: tRNA-Cys
Source: RNAcentral